UACGGGGGGGGCUAGCGUUGUUCGGAGUUACUGGGCGUAAAGGGCGCGUAGGUGGCGGGACAAGCGUGCGGUGAAAGCCUGGGGCUCAACCCCGGGUCGGCCGUGCGAACUGUUUUGCUUGAGCACUGUAGAGGCAGGCGGAAUUCCGGGUGUAGCGGUGGAAUGCGUAGAGAUCCGGAAGAACACCGGUGGCGAAGGCGGCCUGCUGGGCAGUAGCUGACACUGAGGCGCGACAGCGUGGGGAGCAAACAGG
This 253-nucleotide ribosomal RNA is filed under the name uncultured bacterium. RNAcentral's name for it is "partial 16S ribosomal RNA". It matches the Rfam family "Bacterial small subunit ribosomal RNA", at positions 524 to 776 of the family's 1533-position model. The record is from RNAcentral.